CCUUGGCCUUGACAGUACUAGAACUUUCCAGAGAUUGGAUUGGUGCCUUUCGGGAACUUAGAUACAGGUGCUGCAUGGCUGUCGUCAGCUCGUGUCGUGAGAUGUUGGGUUAAGUCCGCAACGAGCGCAACCUUUUCCUUAUUUGCCAGCGGGUAAUGCCGGGAACUUUAAGGAUACUGCCAGUGACAAACUGAAGGAAGGCGGGGACGACGUCAAGUCAUCAUGGCCCUUACGGCCAGGGCUACACACGUGCUACAAUGGUCGGUACAAAGGGUUGCUACCUCGCGAGAGGAUGCUAAUCUCAAAAAGCCGAUCGUAGUCCGGAUCGCAGUCUGCAACUCGACUGCGUGAAGUCGGAAUCGCUAGUAAUCGCGGAUCAGAAUGCCGCGGUGAAUACGUUCCCGGGCCUUGUACACACCGCCCGUCACACCAUGGGAGUUUGUUGCACCAGAAGUAGGUAGUCUAACCGCAAGGAGGACGCUUACCACGGUGUGGCCGAUGACUGGGGUGAAGUCGUAACAAGGUAGGCGUAGAUGA
Molecule: ribosomal RNA, 537 nt
Filed under: uncultured bacterium
Lineage: Bacteria
Description: bacterial SSU rRNA
Rfam family: Bacterial small subunit ribosomal RNA
Source: RNAcentral